This 225-nucleotide ribosomal RNA is filed under the name Triticum aestivum (bread wheat). Its description in RNAcentral is "partial small subunit ribosomal RNA". The record is from RNAcentral. Lineage: Eukaryota; Viridiplantae; Streptophyta; Magnoliopsida; Poales; Poaceae.
AUGUGCAUACCAAAAAAUUAGGGUGGAAUGGGCUUCCGUGACCUUCAUGCUUUUAACCUUGCGAUGCUAGCGAAACAAUGUUGGAGAUUGAUCUCUAAUCCAGAUACGUUAUUUGCUCGUGUGCUUCGCGCGAAAUACUAUCUGGAUGGUAAUAUUUUGAAGGCAGGGAACAAAAAAGGAUCUUUCUUUACUUGGCAGUCUAUUGUUUCUGGAAUCCAAACUUUC